RNAcentral lists this ribosomal RNA (889 nucleotides) under uncultured bacterium. RNAcentral's name for it is "bacterial SSU rRNA". It matches the Rfam family "Bacterial small subunit ribosomal RNA", at positions 12 to 907 of the family's 1533-position model. The record is from RNAcentral.
UUUGAUCCUGGCUCAGGACGAACGCUGGCGGCGUGCCUAACACAUGCAAGUCGAACGAGGUCCAUCCAGUGGCAACACUGGGGACGACCUAGUGGCGAACGGGUGAGUAACACGUGAGGAACUUGCCCCGGAGACCGGGAUAGCCCUCCGAAAGGAGGGCUAAUACCGGAUGUCCCCACCGAGUCGCAUGGCUUGGUGAGGAAAUGGAUUCCGCUCCGGGAGAGCCUCGCGGCCUAUCAGCUAGUUGGUGGGGUAACGGCCCACCAAGGCAUCGACGGGUAGCUGGUCUGAGAGGACGAUCAACCACACUGGGACUGAGACACGGCCCAGACUCUUACGGGAGGCAGCGGUGGGGAAUCUUGCGCAAUGGGCGAAAGCCUGACGCAGCAACGCCGCGUGCGGGAUGAAGGCCCUCGGGUUGUAAACCGCUUUCAGUGGGGACGAACCAAGACGGUACCCACAGAAGAAGCCCCGGCCAACUACGUGCCAGCAGCCGCGGUAACACGUAGGGGGCGAGCGUUGUCCGGAUUCAUUGGGCGUAAAGAGCUCGUAGGCGGUUCGGUAAGUCGGGUGUGAAACCUCCGGGCUCAACCUGGAGACGCCACCCGAUACUGCUGUGACUAGAGUCCAGUAGGGGAGCGUGGAAUUCCUGGUGUAGCGGUGAAAUGCGCAGAUAUCAGGAGGAACACCAGUGGCGAAGGCGGCGCUCUGGGCUGGAACUGACGCUGAGGAGCGAAAGCGUGGGGAGCGAACAGGAUUAGAUACCCUGGUAGUCCACGCCGUAAACGUUGGGUACUAGGUGUGGGGUCUUAUCAACGGAUUCCGUGCCGAAGCUAACGCAUUAAGUACCCCGCCUGGGGAGUACGGCCGCAAGGCUAAAACUCAAAGG